UGCGGCAUAGUGUAGCGGUUAGCACCUUUGGUUUUGAUGUUACAAUAAUAUAUCAGUUCCAAAUAACCCGAGUUCGAAUCUCGGUGCGGCAU
Molecule: non-coding RNA, 92 nt
Organism: Naganishia onofrii
Lineage: Eukaryota; Fungi; Basidiomycota; Tremellomycetes; Filobasidiales; Filobasidiaceae
Source: the annotation of a GenBank genome assembly